Molecule: ribosomal RNA, 507 nt
Filed under: uncultured bacterium
Lineage: Bacteria
Description: bacterial SSU rRNA
Rfam family: Bacterial small subunit ribosomal RNA
Source: RNAcentral
AGCGAACGCUGGCGGCGUGCUUAACACAUGCAAGUCGUGGGAGAACGGGAACCUUCGGGUUCCUCAGUAAACCGGCGCACGGGUGAGUAACACGUAGGUAACCUACCCCAGAGUCUGGGAUAACCUGUCGAAAGACAGGCUAAUACCGGAUAUGACCACGAAGGUUUCGGCCUUUGGGGUGAAAGAUGGCCUCUUCAUGAAAGCUAUCGCUCCAGGAUGGGCCUGCGCGUCAUUAGCUUGUUGGUGGGGUAAUGGCCUACCAAGGCGACGAUGACUAGCUGGUCUGAGAGGAUGAUCAGCCACACUGGGACUGAGACACGGCCCAGACUCCUACGGGAGGCAGCAGUGGGGAAUAUUGCGCAAUGGGGGAAACCCUGACGCAGCGACGCCGCGUGAGUGAUGAAGGCCCUCGGGUCGUAAAGCUCUGUCGGAAGGGAAGAACGUUUGUCGGUCAAAUAGGCCGAUAGACUGACGGUACCUUCAAAGGAAGCACCGGCUAACUCCGUG